Long non-coding RNA from Glossina fuscipes, 1225 nucleotides. RefSeq lists it as uncharacterized. The transcript has 3 exons. NCBI's taxonomy places the organism in Eukaryota, Metazoa, Arthropoda, Insecta, Diptera, Glossinidae. The record is from RefSeq and is a predicted model, not a curated record.
GCUUUUUCUCGGAUUUGUUUAGUGUUUUUCUAAAACUUUAGAGUAAUGAAAGUGUAUGUGAGAGCGAAUGCAUGCCAGAACGCGAAAACCACCAUGCAAUUUGAUAAACGGGAAUAACGGGAUUGAUCGAUACGUAGUGUUUGAGCACAAAAGUACUGUGAACAAAUUAAAAAAUUUCCAAUUUUCUGUACGUGCAUAUUCUAUUAACUAUUGUAGUUGGAUGAAACAAAGGGAGAAAAUGAAACAGAAACACGAAGUAUAAAGAAGGGGGAAAUGGGCUAUAUUCGGCUCAGACCUGGUGCUGAUCUUCUGAUGCGCACGACUUAUUUUUAGUUUUCUUGUUUGAAAAUGUAAUUUAGAGAGACCACUCAAAAAGGGAAUAUAUGUUUUGCAGCCGAUGUUACAGUAAGCAGUACACCUUUCAUCGCCAGUGAAAGUGCUUCAUCAUGCAGCACGUCAUAAGCUGAGAUUUGUUUGAUGAACUGCCCUAAGGCUAUCUCAAAUAGAUAGCUUGUUAAGCUUAUGCCAAAAGCGGCCUUUAUAUAUACAUAUAAAUACCAUAACUAAGGGUAGUGUGCAGAACAGAAUUCAACUUGAGGUCACGUUCCGUUUUUAAUUAACCUUCUUUGGCAAAUUAUUUUUUCGACACCAUUCAAAAUAUUAGAUAGAAAAUUCUUAACGUAGGUUGUUUUUAAUUCUUGCGCUUAUUGUUUUUAAAUCAAAAACUUUCAGACAGCUGAGACGCCAUGGCUCCAUUUGACCGUCCUCAAGCACGAUAAAUACACGGACUGGCUGGUUUCUUGCGUGGAUAUAUUCAUUUAUCGAAAUGUUCACAACACUUUUAUAAUUUAUUUUUAUUGGUUUUAAAACUAGAUUUAUCGUGUACAUCAAUUUUACUCAUUUCAAGAAACUAAUUUAAAAAAGAGAAUGAAGCGUCAUAUCAGAAGGGGUCGGAAAAUGGUCCGACCCGAACCAUUUGCUACAGCGUUUGUUCUUGAGCCAAAACACGUCAAUGUACCAAAUUUCAUCGAAAUAUCUUAAAAAUUUCAGAAUGUAGAUCGAACGUAAAAAUAUAAGACGGACAAACUGACAGACAAGAUUAAAUAGGUUCAGAAAGUGAGUGUGAAUCGUUCGGUAUAAUAAAAGGCGGGUCUAUCUCAAGUCCUGCUGAGUAUUGCACCCAUCCGCAUAAACUUAACCUUACUACAGAUGACGAAAAAAAUGA